This is a long non-coding RNA of Mobula hypostoma (lesser devil ray), 1239 nucleotides long. RefSeq lists it as uncharacterized. The record is from RefSeq and is a predicted model, not a curated record. Lineage: Eukaryota; Metazoa; Chordata; Chondrichthyes; Myliobatiformes; Myliobatidae. The transcript has 4 exons.
GUUGAAGUGCGAUUCUGUGACACAGAACUACAGUAACUGACCGAAAGGAGGAAUGUUCAGAGCACUGUGGUUAUCAGCAGGGUGACUCAGUGACUCUAGUCUGUGAAAUCUCAUCAUACACAUUCCUGGAGAUUCCUCUCGUCUACUCUUAUUGGAGUUCACCAUAGAAGGUUCCAUUCCACACUCACUACAGCUUGAAAUAACUAACAUGAUUAAGGGUUUAAAAAAAAAAUGAUCGGGGGACUUACACACCUCAUAUCUCUUUGUGUGGAAAAGUUGAGCAAGCUCGGGCUUUUUUGUUUAGUGAAGGAAGAUGACAGGCAACGUCAGAGAGGUGUACAAGAGGCAUGGACAGAGUGGACAGCCAUGACCUUUUUCCCCAGGGUUGCAAUGGUUCAUACCAAAGGACAUCCUUUUAAGGGAGUACAGACAAGCACAGGGAAAGAGAAAUGGCCUUAACUUGCUGAAAUUUUCCAGAAUUUUCUGUUUUUAUUUUGCCAUCUCUUGUACACCUGGUUAACAAUUGGCAUUGCCCUGAAUCAAUUUUCCACUCUCACCUGCUCCGCUCCACACCUCCUACUUCCAGGAUUUUUGCUGCCUCAGUAGAUCUUCUCCCACUGGGCAGAAGAUCUUGAGGUGCCGUUUCAAGAAGGCAACAUCCAUCAUCAAAGAACACCACCAUCCGGGCUAUGCUACCUUGUCACAGCUACCAUCGGGCAGGAGGUACAAAAGCCUGAAGUCCCAUUUCACUGGGUUCAGGAACUGCUACAGGGGCCGUGGACAAUUCUGACUUGAUGGAGCCAAAUCAGAGCAGAGAAGCAGAGGAACAUCUGGAGAAAACUUCUGAAAUGCCCGGUUCGCUGCCGCUGCUACUUUCCGAUCGAGAAUCUCUGGAGGGAAGGCCCUAAAAUCCCUGGCUUUGCCUGCUGCUGGUGACCGAGGCUGAGGUCGAAGUGUUCGGCAGAGAUGGUGCUGGGUACUCGGUGUCGGAGGGCUGAUCAGAGCUCGAAGUUUUCGGACAACUCAAAGUUGGACUGUAGUCAGGCAUGGCAGGGAGAGUUUUCUUCCUUCUCCUGACUGCGUGAGAUGUGGGACUUUCGAAAGACUUUGAACUUUUUUACUGUGCCAUGGCCUUCAUCAAGUUAUGGUAUUGUUGCACUGUUGUAAUUAUACGUUAUUAUUAUGUGGUUUUUGUUAGUUUUUCAGUCUUGGUCUGUCCUGUGUUUCAGUGAUAUCACA